UUAAGAUAUAAUGGCGUAAUCUGUCGAACCGUGUCAGGAUGGAAACAUAGCAGCACUAAGGCAACCUUUACGGGUGUUGUAUUUUUAAGA
This 90-nucleotide signal recognition particle RNA is filed under the name bacterium. Its description in RNAcentral is "signal recognition particle sRNA small type". It matches the Rfam family "Bacterial small signal recognition particle RNA". From Rfam's summary of the family: The signal recognition particle (SRP) is a universally conserved ribonucleoprotein involved in the co-translational targeting of proteins to membranes. The record is from RNAcentral.